CAAGUCGAACGAUGAAGUUCCUUCGGGAGUGGAUUAGUGGCGAACGGGUGAGGAACACGUGAGAAACCUGCCUUUCAUUUUGGGAUAACUCCGGGAAACCGGGGCUAACACCGAAUACUCCGUCUCGGCGACAUCGCUGAGCCGGGAAAAAAUUUUGAUGAAAGAUGGUCUCGCGGCCUAUCAGCUAGUUGGUGAGGUAAUGGCUCACCAAGGCAACGACGGGUAGCCGGCCUGAGAGGGCGACCGGCCACACUGGGACUGAGACACGGCCCAGACUCCUACGGGAGGCAGCAGUGGGGAAUAUUGGGCAAUGGGCGCAAGCCUGAUCCAGCGACGCCGCGUGAGGGAUGAAGGCCUUCGGGUUGUAAACCUCUUUCAGUAGGGAAGAAGCGAAAGUGACGGUACCUAAAGAAGAAGCACCGGCUAACUAUGUGCCAGCAGCCGCGGUAAUACAUAGGGUGCAAGCGUUGUCCGGAAUUAUUGGGCGUAAAGAGCUCGUAGGUCGUUUGCCGCGUCGAUUGUGAAAAUCUGAGGCUCAACCUCAGACCUGCAGUCGAUACGGGCAAACUAGAGUGUGGUAGGGGAGACUGGAAUUCCUGGUGUAGCGGUGGAAUGCGCAGAUAUCAGGAGGAACACCAAUGGCGAAGGCAGGUCUCUGGGCCAUAACUGACACUGAGGAGCGAAAGCGCGGGGAGCGAACAGGAUUAGAUACCCUGGUAGUCCGCGCCGUAAACGGUGGGCACUAGCUGUGAGGACCUUCCACGGUCUUCGCGACGCAGCAAACGCAUUAAGUGCCCCGCCUGGGGAGUACGAUCGCAAGAUUAAAACUCAAAGGAAUUGACGG
This 844-nucleotide ribosomal RNA is filed under the name uncultured bacterium. RNAcentral's name for it is "bacterial SSU rRNA". It matches the Rfam family "Bacterial small subunit ribosomal RNA", at positions 58 to 916 of the family's 1533-position model. The record is from RNAcentral.